Molecule: long non-coding RNA, 1001 nt
Filed under: Carassius auratus (goldfish)
Lineage: Eukaryota; Metazoa; Chordata; Actinopteri; Cypriniformes; Cyprinidae
Description: lncRNA (ENSCARG00000060879.1)
Source: RNAcentral
CGGCGCGCGCUCCUUGUAUGGAGCCACACGCGUGAUGGAGAUCGCGCGCAGAUGGGUGGGGGGGCGUGUGGAAACUGAUCCGCCACAGACUCUCUUAACGUACUGUCAAAGCGGAGAGACACGGAAACGCCCUGUCAGUCUCCACAUCUCUGGAGAAACAUCUGAACUGAUUCAACAGGGCACAGGCUGAAGUAGCUGGAGGGACCAGAAACAUCUGAGAUUUGAUUUUGGAAGUAUAGAGGCGCUCAUGGCGCCAGCUCGGCUGCUUUAGGAGGGUCACUUCAGUGGAUUUUAGUGGGAGAAACUCGUCUGUUGUUGGAUGUCAGUCAGAAGAAUGGAUGCGUUCAGAUUGUCCGCUGCUAUUCUUCUAGUUCUGUCUUUAUUCAGCUGUGGAAGCGCUAUACAGUUUCCCGACUCCCAUCUGACCCGGAAAUGGGCGAUGCAGAUGCAGGAGGAGCUAGUGCAGUUGAUCGAUGAUGAGACCGGCAUAAAAGAGCUCCAAAAUGUAAGACCACACAUUGGUUUCAGUAAACAUUUUAUUAAUAAUUUAUGCAGUAUAUUUUGUGUACUUAUAUGCUUAAAAAAAAUACAAGCACGAGUCACAUUAGCUUGAUAAUUAGUAUAUAUCCCACCUUUAGUCUUAAGUUCUGGAAGUAUGUUGAAAUCCGGACUAAAUAAUGCAGUUUUAGAAGUUUUCCUUAAAAAUCUAUUUCCCAGUACAGAAAAUGAAUGGGUCUUCCUAUUGCAGUAGUUUUGAAGUUCUCCAUUCAUGGAUAAAAGAAAGUUGUGAUAUGAAGGUGAAGAAUUUUUAUUUUGGGUGAACUGGUACGUCAAAAGGAGCAAAACUGCAUUAGCAUCGGUGUAUCACCCAGUUUGAACAAAACCUUCUGCUGUACGUCACGCAGUUUGCCAUUCUGAAAGUGUUUGUGUCCAAUGCCAAAGACUAUUUACUGUGUGAGAAAGUCGAAGAAUUUCAUCAACCCACAAUGCCUGCUGCCAGC